UCGCCUCUGGGAUAAAGCAAUCCCUGAAACCUGUUGACCAUCCUCUUCACUUUGUCUGCUAAAACAUUCUGUUUUUAGCUGAUCAUUAACGGAUGGGAUAUUU
Molecule: non-coding RNA, 103 nt
Organism: Brachypodium distachyon (stiff brome)
Lineage: Eukaryota; Viridiplantae; Streptophyta; Magnoliopsida; Poales; Poaceae
Source: Rfam